RNAcentral lists this ribosomal RNA (481 nucleotides) under uncultured bacterium. RNAcentral describes it as "partial 16S ribosomal RNA". It matches the Rfam family "Bacterial small subunit ribosomal RNA", at positions 30 to 507 of the family's 1533-position model. The record is from RNAcentral.
UUGCACGCUGGCGGCAUGCCUUACCCCUGCCAGUCGAACGGUAACGGGCCUUCGGGUGCCGACGAGUGGCGAACGGGUGAGUAAUACAUCGGAACGUGCCCGAUCGUGGGGGAUAACGAGGCGAAAGCUUUGCUAAUACCGCAUACGAUCUACGGAUGAAAGCAGGGGACCGCAAGGCCUUGCGCGGACGGAGCGGCCGAUGGCAGAUUAGGUAGUUGGUGGGAUAAAAGCUUACCAAGCCGACGAUCUGUAGCUGGUCUGAGAGGAUGAUCAGCCACACUGGGACUGAGACACGGCCCAGACUCCUACGGGAGGCAGCAGUGGGGAAUUUUGGACAAUGGGCGCAAGCCUGAUCCAGCCAUGCCGCGUGCAGGAUGAAGGCCUUCGGGUUGUAAACUGCUUUUGUACGGAACGAAAAGCCUUCUUUUAAUACAGGAGGGUCAUGACGGUACCGUAAGAAUAAGCACCGGCUAACUACGUG